Molecule: ribosomal RNA, 365 nt
Filed under: uncultured bacterium
Lineage: Bacteria
Description: bacterial SSU rRNA
Rfam family: Bacterial small subunit ribosomal RNA
Source: RNAcentral
AGCGAACGCUAGCGGCGGGCUUAACACAUGCAAGUCGAGCGGAGGGGCAACCCUUAGCGGCGGACGGGUGAGUAACACGUAGGUCACGUAUCCUCUGGUGGGGAAUAACCGUGGGAAACCAUGGCUAAUACCGCAUAUCGUAUGAAAGUAUGAAAGCCUUCGGGCGCCAGUUGAGCGGCCUGCGGCCCAUUAGUUAGUUGGCGGGGUAACGGCCCACCAAGACGAUGAUGGGUAGCUGGUCUGAGAGGAUGAUCAGCCACACUGGAACUGAGACACGGUCCAGACUCCUACGGGAGGCAGCAGUGGGGAAUAUUGCGCAAUGGGCGAAAGCCUGACGCAGCCACGCCGCGUGAGUGAUGAAGGCC